Long non-coding RNA from Selaginella moellendorffii, 190 nucleotides. RefSeq lists it as uncharacterized. The record is from RefSeq and is a predicted model, not a curated record. The transcript has 3 exons. NCBI's taxonomy places the organism in Eukaryota, Viridiplantae, Streptophyta, Lycopodiopsida, Selaginellales, Selaginellaceae.
AAGGUUGCCAAUUCUCAGGGCGCAAUGCUGCUCGUGGCAAAAUCUAAGGAUUGUGGGGGUAGAUUGGAGACGAUGCUACUCAAGAAAGAAUCUCAGGGAAGAUGCUUAUUCUCCACUGCUGCUGUGGUGGCCACAAAAUGCCAGUUUCACAUACCUUGCACAAAUACAAAGUGUCCUGGCCUUUUGCUGA